AUACGGAGGAUCCGAGCGUUAUCCGGAUUUAUUGGGUUUAAAGGGAGCGUAGGUGGACAGUUAAGUCAGUUGUGAAAGUUUGCGGCUCAACCGUAAAAUUGCAGUUGAUACUGGCUGUCUUGAGUACAGUAGAGGUGGGCGGAAUUCGUGGGGGAGCGGUGGAAUGCUUAGAUAUCACGAAGAACUCCGAUUGCGAAGGCAGCUCACUGGACUGCAACUGACACUGAUGCUCGAAAGUGUGGGUAUCAAACAGGAUUAGAUACCCUGGUAGUCCACACAGUAAACGAUGAAUACUCGCUGUUUGCGAUAUACAGUAAGCGGCCAAGCGAAAGCAUUAAGUAUUCCACCUGGGGAGUACGCCGGCAACGGUGAAACUCAAAUGAAUUGGCGGGG
Molecule: ribosomal RNA, 393 nt
Filed under: uncultured bacterium
Lineage: Bacteria
Description: partial 16S ribosomal RNA
Rfam family: Bacterial small subunit ribosomal RNA
Source: RNAcentral